Molecule: long non-coding RNA, 2948 nt
Filed under: Linum usitatissimum (flax)
Lineage: Eukaryota; Viridiplantae; Streptophyta; Magnoliopsida; Malpighiales; Linaceae
Description: long non-coding RNA (LUSI_LNC005362)
Source: RNAcentral
UCUGAUCAAGUUUGUUACAAAAAUGUUCAAGUCAAACAUGUUUGCAUCACAUGAACCUACUCAAUCGUAGUGUGUAUGAGUGUUCUGCUACCAAAUGCCAGAAGGCACAUAAUUGUUUAUAAAUCGUGGUACAUCCGACCAGGAGUGGUAAUUGCAAGGAAAAAAAUUAAAAUAUGAACAGACACCUUCCUUGAUACAGAAUUCUCGCAUAACUCCAUACAGCUCACUGUUUGACGAACUAAAUGCGAAAAAAAAAACAGAUUGAAGAAGGGAUGCAAGCAAGUGAGUGCCAUCCAUCAUUUUAGCAGCAAAUCUCUGAGCUGAAAAGGUACGGAAAUGGUGGAAUUUCAUCUUUUUCAGCCAACCCUUCCUUCCUAGUAACAUAAUUCUCCCAUCGGAACCCAGAGGGGCCAAUUUAAAGGCAUAGGUGCUAGGAGGGUCCCUAACUUUUGACCUUGCAGCAUAAAAAGUUGCUUUGUAAGAGAUCAGUCCAAGAAAAGGGGUUAGGAUUGAAUUUUGUAUACAUAUAACUAAAAGCUAAUAAUGUUCAGUUCAAUACUUGCAGGCUGCAGCAGCUUCAGAGUACAAUAUAAAAGGUUCAAUACUUGAGAAAUUUUUAAGAGUAAGAGAAAUCCACUACAUCUGACAUUAUUCUACAUUCCCCUCCAAAGCCAUUUUGCAUACUGUACCAAAUGGCUUAUGCUAAUCAUUAAAUCUGAGGCCUCCGUAGUGUAUUAAUGGCCAUACCAAAACUUGCAUCAUCAUAUUCAUUGUCAUUAGUCUUUUAAUUCCUUCAGCUUUAAAUGUCAAAAAUGGGUUGGCCAAGGUCGGCGGCCAGCCGUGUAGGUCUUUUGCCCUUUCUUUCUUACUUAAUAAAAGGAACAAGUUUUCUCAUCUAAAUAUGCAGAUAAUCUUUUAUAGAACAAAAGUGUUAACCUAUGCAGUCAAAGCAUUUACUUGCAUGAGAGAAAUAUCACUAUGCCUUUUUGACAACUAUUUACACAGAUAAGCAAUAAGAGAGAGAGAGAGAGAGAGCUUCCCUAUCAUGACUUGAAUUCAAUCUACUAACAGUCGGAGUCUAAUGCUAGUUGUUUUCUACAUGAUCAGCGUCAAACAACCUUGUUACGUUAAGAGUAUAAGUCAAUAUGUCAUGUAACAGUAACACAGUUUUAACACUAUUACUUAAGUUAGAUGUGUUAUGUUUAUCAAACUUAAGUAAGAAUAUGAACAACUACUUAACAUUAGCCUUGCGAGAUGAACUUGUAAAGAGGAAAGUGGGAGAGAUCAGCUCAACAUAUUUGUUACCAUGUUACCUUGGUUUAUAAAAGAUGCGUUUUACAAGAUUUUGCCAAUUGGAGCUCUAAAUGAUAAACCAGAGCUUGCCGACACUUGACUUCAAUAAGUUAGAAAUUAAACCCUUUAAAUACCAGAGACACAGAACAAAAGAAAGAAAAAGGGGCUACGUGGUGCCGGCGUGCAUUCCAUUGCGGCCAAUGUAUCUGUUUUGGAUGACAAAUGUCCUCCCAUUCACUUCUAUGAACAAAAUAAGACUUGCACUUUAAGGGAAAUAAUAUUAGUAUAAGAGGUCCACCUUGGCAAAAGUAGCAGCCCCUCUUAACACUGUUAAAAGAAAGGGAAGGCGGGACAUGUGAUCAUAAUCACUAUAUUAUGUUUAUUUCUGAAGGGUGUACUUUUUCAAAUUUGCAUUUAGGUGUUUUCCUUUCAGGUGAAUUCUUUACAAUCUAUAUUUGGUUUGGUUUGGUUUGGUGAGAGGAAUGUGCUAAACUAAGUGUUGCAAUUAGAGCUGAGAUGGGGAACAGUAACACCUCUGGGUUUCAAGGUAUGUAAUUAUGGCAGGGGAUUCCUUUAUUUUUUCCUAUUUUUCAUACUUGUUUCCUCUCUGGUUGGCUCAUGAAUGGUGGCUGAAGAUGCAGCAGAAGAAAAUUCUAACACAAAGAUUGAAGGAACUCAACCAAAAUCUGUGCAAGAACAUGAUGAGCAAGAAGGUACAAGAGGACACUUUGUUGAUCAAAGUGAAGGAAGUGAUGAAAAUGGAGGAAGAAUGUUAGGUUCUGAGGAUCCAAAGGAAGAGGAGGGAGCAAAAGCCCGGAAUCGAGAUGGAAAAGGUUCGGUUUGCUAAUAUACCUAAUGACAACAACUUUAUUUUGGUAUAAAGUUGUGUUGAUUAGUUUAUCCUGGCAAUCAAUAUUUUUUCAGUUGUUUCAGAGCAAGAGAAUGAUAGGCUGGAGAGCCAAGUUCAUGAUCUUAUGUCUGUCGAAUCUGAGGAACCAAAGCCCGAAUAUGAAGAAGAAAGAAGUAAAGACAGUAAUCCUCAACUAAAUAUUGUGAGGCAACAAACAGAAGAAAACAAGUCUGAUUCUAUGGAACAACCAGAAUCUAGUAAGCCAGGUUAACCAACUAAACUUCACAAUCCAUGAACAAUCAUUUCUUCUUAAACGAAUCAAUACGAUCAUUAGUUUUGAGCAGGAAGAAUGAAGCUUACCUAUUUAUCUGCAGCAGAGGAGGUGGAGGAGACGUUGAGCUCAGGUUCAACUGUUAGAUCCCAUGCACAUGAUGAGCAAGAACAUCAAGGUUCUGAUGAAGUAGAAUCAAACCUGACUGAAAACCAAGGUAACUCAACUUCCACCAAUAUGGAGAGGUUGGAGAGCCAAGUUCACGAUCCUUUGCUAGCCGAAUCUAAGAAGCCAAACCUGGACUACAAUGGAGAUAGCAGCAAAUGUGGCAAUUCUCAACCGAAUUUAUUGAGGGAAGAGAUGGAAGAACGCAUAUCUGAUGUAGAUGAGCAGCAGGAACUGCAUAAGCCAGGUUAGCCUACUUAACUUCAUAAUCCAUGUCAUGAAGAACCAAUAAAUCUAUCUGACGAAAAAACUUCUACACUCUCUCCUUUCUAUCUGCAUCAGUGGAGGCAGAGAUGAGCAUAGGAUCAC